GCCUUCAUAGUGUAAAGGCAGUACACUAGGCUCGUAUUCGAGAUGUCCAGGGUUCGAGUCCCGGCGAGGGCA
This 72-nucleotide transfer RNA is filed under the name Stegodyphus mimosarum. It matches the Rfam family "tRNA". From Rfam's summary of the family: Transfer RNA (tRNA) molecules are approximately 80 nucleotides in length. Their secondary structure includes four short double-helical elements and three loops (D, anti-codon, and T loops). Lineage: Eukaryota; Metazoa; Arthropoda; Arachnida; Araneae; Eresidae. The record is from Rfam by way of RNAcentral.